ACGGGAGGCAGCAGUGAGGAAUAUUGGUCAAUGGACGGAAGUCUGAACCAGCCAAGUCGCGUGAGGGAUGAAGGCCCUAUGGAUUGUAAACCUCUUUUGUCGGGGAGUAAUGUGCGGGACGUGUCCUGUAUUGAGAGUACCCGAAGAAAAAGCAUCGGCUAACUCCGUGCCAGCAGCCGCGGUAAUACGGAGGAUGCGAGCGUUAUCCGGAUUUAUUGGGUUUAAAGGGUGCGCAGGCGGCGCGUCAAGUCAGCGGUUAAAUCCCGAGGCUCAACCUCGGUUCGCCGUUGAAACUGUCGUGCUCGAGUUCGUGCGAGGAGAGCGGAAUGCGUGGUGUAGCGGUGAAAUGCAUAGAUAUCACGCAGAACGCCGAUUGCGAAGGCAGCCCUCCAGCACUGGACUGACGCUGAGGCACGAAAGCGGGGGUAUCGAACAGGAUUAGAUACCCUGGUA
Molecule: ribosomal RNA, 453 nt
Filed under: uncultured Barnesiella sp.
Lineage: Bacteria; Pseudomonadati; Bacteroidota; Bacteroidia; Bacteroidales; Barnesiellaceae
Description: partial 16S ribosomal RNA
Rfam family: Bacterial small subunit ribosomal RNA
Source: RNAcentral